GAUAACCUACCUAUAAGACUGGGAUAACUUCGGGAAACCGGAGCUAAUACCGGAUAAUAUUUUGAACCGCAUGGUUCAAAAGUGAAAGACGGUCUUGCUGUCACUUAUAGAUGGAUCCGCGCUGCAUUAGCUAGUUGGUAAGGUAACGGCUUACCAAGGCAACGAUGCAUAGCCGACCUGAGAGGGUGAUCGGCCACACUGGAACUGAGACACGGUCCAGACUCCUACGGGAGGCAGCAGUNGGGAAUCUUCCGCAAUGGGCGAAAGCUCGACGGAGCAACGCCGCGUGAGUUAUGAAGGUCUUCGGAUCGUAAAACUCUGUUAUUAGGGAAGAACAUAUGUUUNAGUUACUGUGCACAUCUUGACGGUACCUAAUCAGAAAGCCACGGCUAACUACGUGCCAGCAGCCGCGGUAAUACGUAGGUGGCAAGCGUUAUCCGGAAUUAUUGGGCGUAAGCGCGCGUAGGCGGUUUUUUAAGUCUGAUGUGAAAGCCCACGGCUCAACCGUGGAGGGUCAUUGGAAACUGGAAAACUUGAGUGCAGAAGAGGAAAGUGGAAUUCCAUGUGUAGCGGUGAAAUGCGCAGAGAUAUGGAGGAACACCAGUGGCGAAGGCGACUUUCUGGUCUGUAACUGACGCUGAUGUGCGAAAGCGUGGGGAUCAAACAGGAUUAGAUACCCUGGUAGUCCACGCCGUAAACGAUGAGUGCUAAGUGUUAGGGGGUUUCCGCCCCUUAGUGCUGCA
Molecule: ribosomal RNA, 743 nt
Filed under: uncultured Staphylococcus sp.
Lineage: Bacteria; Bacillati; Bacillota; Bacilli; Caryophanales; Staphylococcaceae
Description: bacterial SSU rRNA
Rfam family: Bacterial small subunit ribosomal RNA
Source: RNAcentral